UACAACCACUGAACCAACAAAGAUGACGAAAUCGACGGCAAGGAUGACGAUGACAAAAUCGAUGGCAAGGAUGAAGAUGACGAAACCAACAGGGAGGACGAACACAAUUGAUUGAUCAAGCACAAAGGAAAAGAGUUUAAAGAACGUUGUGGCUACAGCAAUUCGUUUACUAUAUCAUAUGUACAAACCAAUAAAAGGACAUUUGUUGCACCCUAAUUUCAUUCCAAAAAUACUAUUUAUGUUGCUUAUUUUAUGUACCAUAAAUUCCAAUUGCGAUUAUUACUGUU
Molecule: non-coding RNA, 287 nt
Organism: Malus domestica (apple)
Lineage: Eukaryota; Viridiplantae; Streptophyta; Magnoliopsida; Rosales; Rosaceae
Source: RefSeq, a predicted model, not a curated record